CGAAAGCCUGACGGAGCAAUACCGCGUGAGGGAGGAAGGUUUUUGGAUUGUAAACCUCUUUUAAUAAGGAAGAAGAAAGUGACGGUACUUAUUGAAUAAGCAUCGGCUAACUCCGUGCCAGCAGCCGCGGUAAUACGGAGGAGGCAAGCGUUAUCCGGAAUGAUUGGGCGUAAAGCGUCCGCAGGUGGCAAUGUAAGUCUGCUGUCAAAACCCAGGGCUCAACUCUGGUCAGGCAGUGGAAACUACAUAGCUAGAGUUCGGUAGGGGCAAAGGGAAUUCCCGGUGUAGCGGUGAAAUGCGUAGAGAUCGGGAAGAACAUCGGUGGCGAAAGCGCUUUGCUAGACCGAAACUGACACUCAGGGACGAAAGCUAGGGGAGCG
RNAcentral lists this ribosomal RNA (380 nucleotides) under uncultured cyanobacterium. RNAcentral describes it as "bacterial SSU rRNA". It matches the Rfam family "Bacterial small subunit ribosomal RNA", at positions 376 to 770 of the family's 1533-position model. Lineage: Bacteria; Bacillati; Cyanobacteriota. The record is from RNAcentral.